Brassica oleracea var. oleracea is the source of this 243-nucleotide long non-coding RNA. RefSeq lists it as uncharacterized. The record is from RefSeq and is a predicted model, not a curated record. NCBI's taxonomy places the organism in Eukaryota, Viridiplantae, Streptophyta, Magnoliopsida, Brassicales, Brassicaceae. The transcript has 2 exons.
AACAAUGGAGAGCUUCUCACUUUGUCUCUAGACAAAUCAUCUGGCUCUGGUUUCCAGUCCAAGAACGAGUACUUGUUCGGUAAAAUCGACAUGCAGAUGAAACUCGUCCCUGGUAACUCCGCAGGAACAGUCACAACACUCUACUUGAAAUCACCCGGAACAACAUGGGACGAGAUUGACUUCGAGUUCUUAGGGAACCUAAGUGGAGAUCCUUACACACUUCACACAAAUGUCUACACACAA